RNAcentral lists this ribosomal RNA (780 nucleotides) under Salmonella enterica subsp. enterica. RNAcentral describes it as "bacterial SSU rRNA". It matches the Rfam family "Bacterial small subunit ribosomal RNA", at positions 1 to 770 of the family's 1533-position model. The record is from RNAcentral. Lineage: Bacteria; Pseudomonadati; Pseudomonadota; Gammaproteobacteria; Enterobacterales; Enterobacteriaceae.
AAAUUGAAGAGUUUGAUCAUGGCUCAGAUUGAACGCUGGCGGCAGGCCUAACACAUGCAAGUCGAACGGUAACAGGAAGCAGCUUGCUGUUUUGCUGACGAGUGGCGGACGGGUGAGUAAUGUCUGGGAAACUGCCUGAUGGAGGGGGAUAACUACUGGAAACGGUGGCUAAUACCGCAUAACGUCGCAAGACCAAAGAGGGGGACCUUCGGGCCUCUUGCCAUCAGAUGUGCCCAGAUGGGAUUAGCUUGUUGGUGAGGUAACGGCUCACCAAGGCGACGAUCCCUAGCUGGUCUGAGAGGAUGACCAGCCACACUGGAACUGAGACACGGUCCAGACUCCUACGGGAGGCAGCAGUGGGGAAUAUUGCACAAUGGGCGCAAGCCUGAUGCAGCCAUGCCGCGUGUAUGAAGAAGGCCUUCGGGUUGUAAAGUACUUUCAGCGGGGAGGAAGGUGUUGUGGUUAAUAACCACAGCAAUUGACGUUACCCGCAGAAGAAGCACCGGCUAACUCCGUGCCAGCAGCCGCGGUAAUACGGAGGGUGCAAGCGUUAAUCGGAAUUACUGGGCGUAAAGCGCACGCAGGCGGUCUGUCAAGUCGGAUGUGAAAUCCCCGGGCUCAACCUGGGAACUGCAUUCGAAACUGGCAGGCUUGAGUCUUGUAGAGGGGGGUAGAAUUCCAGGUGUAGCGGUGAAAUGCGUAGAGAUCUGGAGGAAUACCGGUGGCGAAGGCGGCCCCCUGGACAAAGACUGACGCUCAGGUGCGAAAGCGUGGGGAGCA